This 1070-nucleotide long non-coding RNA is filed under the name Homo sapiens (human). RNAcentral describes it as "HSALNT0295809". The record is from RNAcentral. Lineage: Eukaryota; Metazoa; Chordata; Mammalia; Primates; Hominidae.
CUGACUUGUUUCCUGAGGAAGGGAACAGGAAUCAUUUAUCUAGUGUUUGGGAAAACCCAAUGUCAAGCACAGACAUGCCCUGCCUCUGACUGAGGAGCCAGGCAUACUGGGGAGGAAUCUUGCCAAUGCAACACCAUCCCUUCUCCUUGUGAUCUCUGGUGCUUCAUUUAGAUGCCAUUAAAUUGCCUCAUUGCUGCCCUAUAAAAGGUCUCCCCACCUGCUAGUUUUUCAGAUCACUGACUUCUUCCAGUCUUGCUCCUAUCAGCAAAGAGGAAGGAAGAAGGGAAGUCACCCUGGAGAGAACUGGUGGCAGGGGUCAAUCAUCUGGGAGCAGCAAUUUCCAAAGGAUUUUGCAAAGCCACAGAACAAUGUGUGACCAGCAGAAGCAGCCACAGUUCCCUCCAUCUUGUGUGAAAGCUACUGCUGUCUGGCUCCCCGGACCUUCGGGGUGAGUCCCCUGAGACGCUGGAUUCAGCGGCCCCAGAACUGCAACACAGGAUCAUCUGGCUGCUGUGAGAAUUCGGGAAGCUCUGGAUGCUGUGGUUCUGGGGGCUGUGGCUGCAGCUGUGGAUGUGGCAGCUCUGGGUGCUGCUGUUUGGGAAUUAUCCCCAUGAGGUCCCGAGGUCCUGCAUGCUGUGACCAUGAGGAUGACUGCUGCUGCUAAACAUACGACAGCUCAACUCCAGAAUGCACUGCCCCGCUACCCCUUCUGGAACAUGCACCAGCUUCUGGCCCCCUCUCUGUUAGUGCCAGUGAUGUAGAACCUCAUCACUUUGCCUCUGUGCUUUGCUUCUCUACCAAGGCAGCCUGCCAGAGUUAGUACAGUCCCCAAACUUUGGCAUGAAUAAAGCUCUGAAUGCAUUUCGUGGUAAUUUCUGUCUGUUUGUUUGGUCCAUAUUUAUGCUUUUCUAUCAGGCACUCUUCUGCAUCCCUCUCUUCUUACUCUUGUUUCUCAGCUAGAGGAAAGAUCUGCACGAACAUGAACAAGCAGACUGAGCUGGUGAAAUCCCAGCCUGGGAGCCCCAUGCCUUCUAGAAUGCUGUGAAUAAACUUUCCCACGCAAGUUAGAA